GACGAGGGGUCCAAGCGUUGUUCGGAAUCAUUGGGCGUAAAGCGGGUGUAGGUGGCUUUGUAAGUCAGGAGUGAAAUCCCCGAGCUUAACUUGGGAAGUGCUUUUGAAACUGCAGGGCUUGAGUGUGGGAGAGGAUCGUGGAAUUCCAGGUGUAGUGGUGAAAUACGUAGAUAUCUGGAGGAACACCGGUGGCGAAGGCGGCGAUCUGGCCCAACACUGACACUGAGACCCGAAAGCGUGGGGAUCAAACAGG
RNAcentral lists this ribosomal RNA (253 nucleotides) under uncultured bacterium. RNAcentral describes it as "partial 16S ribosomal RNA". It matches the Rfam family "Bacterial small subunit ribosomal RNA", at positions 524 to 776 of the family's 1533-position model. The record is from RNAcentral.